This 230-nucleotide ribosomal RNA is filed under the name uncultured eukaryote. RNAcentral's name for it is "partial 18S ribosomal RNA". It matches the Rfam family "Eukaryotic small subunit ribosomal RNA", at positions 1208 to 1456 of the family's 1831-position model. The record is from RNAcentral.
GGGAAACUCACCAGGUCCAGACAUAAUAAGGAUUGACAGAUUGAUAGCUCUUUCUUGAUUUUAUGGGUGGUGGUGCAUGGCCGUUCUUAGUUCGUGGAGUGAUUUGUCUGCUUAAUUGCGUUAACGAACGAGACCUUAACCUGCUAAAUAGGAGAGCAUAUCUUCGGAUACGCUCCUUUCUUCUUAGAGGGACUGUACAUGUUUCAAUGUGCGGAAGUUUGAGGCUAAAA